This 1128-nucleotide long non-coding RNA is filed under the name Equus caballus (horse). RNAcentral describes it as "lncRNA (ENSECAG00000055166.1)". The record is from RNAcentral. Lineage: Eukaryota; Metazoa; Chordata; Mammalia; Perissodactyla; Equidae.
CGGAACUCCUGGGAUUAAUCCAAAAUCAAGCAGAACUUCUGGUGGAGAGAUCCAAGCUCCCAAAUACCAUGGAAGAGUCAAAGAACUAAGGCAGGCCACAGUUAGCCCAGAGGAGGAAUUGAGAAGAAAUUGUAUGUCUCCUGAAUACAAGCCAGACACUCUUUGCCCUAAAUACCCACUUCUGGAGAAGGAAAAUUAACUGCUUUGAAAUAGAGAACAUUUGGAAGAGAAUCCAUUUUCAUCUGACAGGAAUGGUUUGAUGAGUCUUCUCUCAAAGCCAGGCAAUGGAUAACCUGAAUUUUUGAGUCUUUUCAACCCUGGAAAUCUAUGGUGCCAUAAAAUGGUUGUUUUAAUGAUAAAGAAAACAAAUCAGAAGGCUGGCUAUAUUUUGAAGAGUCCCUACUGCUCAGUAUCACAAAGGUUAGAACGUCCUGCUCCUCGCCUUUGGAUCAGUUACCAGGUUGAUAGAUUGACUAAGGGAAGACGUCCAAUUUAAAUGGAGGCGACAGACGACUCCUAUCCUUCCUUCUUUCUCAGCCACUACAGCCCAUGGGCAGCUGAGGCCUUUUGGAAUAUCCCAGAAGGCUUUACCAAGAAUGUGGGACUGUGCUGUGGCUUUAAGGAUUUGGCCAGAAGGAGGUCAGAGGAGGACAGAGCAAACUAGAGCAAUUGUGAUUCUGGAUGCAGUUGGGACUUUCCCAGUACUCUGGAGGGUAGACAGCUGAAGCUUCCAGCAAGGUCACGGAGGUCCGUUUGCUCACCAGGUUGAUCCAAGCAGGAUUUACUUUUUUUCUUCAUCUGCUGUUUGCGUGAAGAAAUUACACUUUGAUGAUUUUCCUCAACUACAGUAAUUAAAUAUUUCCAUUGAGCGAGUGAUCUAUUUUACCUGAAAUUGUGAAUGUGCUUUAUUUUCCUCUAAAACAUUCUUUACAUCAGCAAUUUUAAUUAUUUUUUCUAAACAUUUUCUUUAAUAUGUCUUUCUUUUUCUACUCUCAUUUUUCAAAUUUUCCCUUUUCUUGUUUUAACUUUUUUUUCUUUUGCCAUUUUCUAAGCGGUUAAAGGUAAAGAAAAAAAAGAAGGAAAUAAAAAUAAGUAGGGAAAGCUCACAGGAGUAAAUGAUUCCUGGAC